AAUGGAAGGUGACCGAGCCUAUUUAUAGGUUAGGAAAGUCCAUGCUAGCACAUUCUGAAAUGGAUGUAGUGUUUGUGCCUAGGGAAGAAAUAACCUAGGGUACGAGUCAUCGUAACGGCGUCUCAUAAUCUAAGGGAAACUAUGAUUUAGGACAAACGUGCCACAGAAACGAGCUUUCUAGAAAUGGAAAGAUGAAACGCGGUAAACCCCUCAAGCUAGCAACCCAAAUUUGGUAGGGGCACGUACGAAAGCGAAUCAAAGCUUGAGUAUGCUACUUAGUAGAGAUAAAUGGUCACACCCUUUUUAAGGGAACAGAACAUGGCUUAUGCAC
RNAcentral lists this RNase P RNA (331 nucleotides) under Bacillota bacterium. RNAcentral's name for it is "RNase P RNA component class B". It matches the Rfam family "Bacterial RNase P class B". From Rfam's summary of the family: Ribonuclease P (RNase P) is a ubiquitous endoribonuclease, found in archaea, bacteria and eukarya as well as chloroplasts and mitochondria. Its best characterised activity is the generation of mature 5'-ends of tRNAs by cleaving the 5'-leader elements of precursor-tRNAs. Lineage: Bacteria; Bacillati; Bacillota. The record is from RNAcentral.